UACGUAGGGUGCAAGCGUUGUCCGGAUUUACUGGGUGUAAAGGGUGCGCAGGCGGAUCUGUGCGUCGGAGGUUAAAGACCUCGGCUUAACCGAGGAAGUGCCUUCGAAACGGCGGACCUUGAAUGUGAGAGAGGAUGAUAGAAUUCCUGGUGUAGCGGUGAAAUGCGUAGAUAUCAGGAGGAAUACCAGUGGCGAAGGCGGUCAUCUGGCUCAUUAUUGACGCUCAGGCACGAAAGCGUGGGGAGCAAACAGGAUGAGAUACCCUGGUAGUCCACGCCCUAAACGAUGUAUGCUUGGUGUUGGGGGCUUGCCUCCAGUGCCGAAGGAAACCCGAUAAGCAUACCACCUGGGGAGUACGAUCGCAAGGUUGAA
This 372-nucleotide ribosomal RNA is filed under the name uncultured bacterium. RNAcentral's name for it is "bacterial SSU rRNA". It matches the Rfam family "Bacterial small subunit ribosomal RNA", at positions 524 to 898 of the family's 1533-position model. The record is from RNAcentral.